RNAcentral lists this ribosomal RNA (253 nucleotides) under uncultured bacterium. RNAcentral's name for it is "partial 16S ribosomal RNA". It matches the Rfam family "Bacterial small subunit ribosomal RNA", at positions 524 to 776 of the family's 1533-position model. The record is from RNAcentral.
UACGAAGGGGGCGAGCGUUGUUCGGAAUUACUGGGCGUAAAGGGCGCGCAGGCGGCUCUGAAAGUCCGAUGUGAAAGCCCCGGGCUUAGCCUGGGAAUUGCAUUUGAUACUCUGGAGCUUGAGUACGGGAGAGGAGAGUGGAAUUCCCAGUGUAGAGGUGAAAUUCGUAGAUAUUGGGAAGAACACCGGUGGCGAAGGCGGCUCUCUGGACCGUAACUGACGCUGAGGCGCGAAAGCGUGGGGAGCAAACAGG